Molecule: ribosomal RNA, 349 nt
Filed under: Slaterocoris sp. WCW-2003d
Lineage: Eukaryota; Metazoa; Arthropoda; Insecta; Hemiptera; Miridae
Description: eukaryotic LSU rRNA
Rfam family: Eukaryotic large subunit ribosomal RNA
Source: RNAcentral
UCUUGAAACACGGACCAAGGAGUCUAACAUGUGCGCGAGUCAUUGGGUUUUGAAAACCUAAAGGCGUAAUCAAAGUGAAAGGUGACUCUUUCGCUUGCCCGAGGGAGGAUGGGCACGUCAGCCGUCCGCCGGCGGUGCCCCGCACUCCCGGGGCGUUUCUCACUCAUCGCGAGUCGAGGCGCACCCAGAGCGUACACGUUAGGACCCGAAAGAUGGUGAACUAUGCCCGGCCAGGACGAAGCCAGGGGAAACCCUGGUGGAGGUCCGUAGCGAUUCUGACGUGCAAAUCGAUCGUCGGAGCUGGGUAUAGGGGCGAAAGACUAAUCGAACCAUCUAGUAGCUGGUUCCU